Molecule: ribosomal RNA, 301 nt
Filed under: uncultured bacterium
Lineage: Bacteria
Description: partial 16S ribosomal RNA
Rfam family: Bacterial small subunit ribosomal RNA
Source: RNAcentral
CAGUCGCCGCGGGAAUACGAAGGGUGCAAGCGUUACUCGGAAUUACUGGGCGUAAAGCGUGCGUAGGUGGUGGUUUAAGUCCGUUGUGAAAGCCCUGGGCUCAACCUGGGAAUUGCAGUGGAUACUGGGUCACUAGAGUGUGGUAGAGGAUAGUGGAAUUUCCGGUGUAGCAGUGAAAUGCGUAGAGAUCUGGAGGAAUACCGAUGGCGAAGGCAGCCAUCUGGCCUAAUACUGACGCUGAGGUACGAAAGCAUGGGGAGCAAACAGGAUUAGAUACCCCCGUAGUCCCUGUCUCUUAUAC